UAUAAGUUAAUUUAAUAAAAAUCUUGACUUGUGGCGUCAAAUUUGGAUUUCUCCACUUAUAA
This 62-nucleotide transfer RNA is filed under the name Typosyllis antoni. Its description in RNAcentral is "tRNA-His". The record is from RNAcentral. Lineage: Eukaryota; Metazoa; Annelida; Polychaeta; Phyllodocida; Syllidae.